UGAGCAAAUUGUCCAACCACAGUCGACUGUUCUCCUUACGGUCCAAGAAUAAUCGGCUGUGUUUGGUCAAUUCGCUCAC
RNAcentral lists this microRNA precursor (79 nucleotides) under Dinoponera quadriceps. RNAcentral's name for it is "microRNA dqu-mir-11657 precursor". Lineage: Eukaryota; Metazoa; Arthropoda; Insecta; Hymenoptera; Formicidae. The record is from miRBase by way of RNAcentral.